RNAcentral lists this non-coding RNA (148 nucleotides) under Gorilla gorilla gorilla (western lowland gorilla). The record is from Rfam by way of RNAcentral. Lineage: Eukaryota; Metazoa; Chordata; Mammalia; Primates; Hominidae.
GCCAGGCGUGGUGGUGCACGCCUGUAAUCCCAGCUACUCAGGAGGCUGAGACACAAGAAUUGCUUGAACCCGGGGGGCAGAGGUUGCAGUGAGCCAAGAUCAUGCCACUGCACUCCAGCCUGGGCAACAGAGCGAGACUCUGUCUCAA